RNAcentral lists this ribosomal RNA (497 nucleotides) under uncultured bacterium. Its description in RNAcentral is "partial 16S ribosomal RNA". It matches the Rfam family "Bacterial small subunit ribosomal RNA", at positions 28 to 507 of the family's 1533-position model. The record is from RNAcentral.
GAUGAACGCUGGCGGCGUGCCUAGUACAUGCAAGUCGAGCGAACAGACGAGGAGCUUGCUCCUCUGACGUUAGCGGCGGACGGGUGAGUAACACGUGGAUAACCUACCUAUAAGGCUGGGAUAACUUCGGGAAACCGGAGCUAAUACCGGAUAAUAUAUUGAACCGCAUGGUUCAAUAGUGAAAGACGGUUUUGCUGUCACUUAUAGAUGGAUCCGCGCCGCAUUAGCUAGUUGGUAAGGUAACGGCUUACCAAGGCAACGAUGCGUAGCCGACCUGAGAGGGUGAUCGGCCACACUGGAACUGAGACACGGUCCAGACUCCUACGGGAGGCAGCAGUAGGGAAUCUUCCGCAAUGAGCGAAAGCCUGACGGAGCAACGCCGCGUGAGUGAUGAAGGUCUUCGGAUCGUAAAACUCUGUUAUUAGGGAAGAACAAAUGUGUAAGUAACUAUGCACGUCUUGACGGUACCUAAUCAGAAAGCCACGGCUAACUACGUG